RNAcentral lists this ribosomal RNA (454 nucleotides) under uncultured bacterium. Its description in RNAcentral is "partial 16S ribosomal RNA". It matches the Rfam family "Bacterial small subunit ribosomal RNA", at positions 28 to 507 of the family's 1533-position model. The record is from RNAcentral.
GAUGAACGCUGACAGAAUGCUUAACACAUGCAAGUCAACUUGAACUUCGGUUUGGGUGGCGGACGGGUGAGUAACGCGUAAAGAACUUGCCUCACAGCUAGGGACAACAUUUGGAAACGAAUGCUAAUACCUGAUAUUAUGAUUUUAGGGCAUCCUAGAAUUAUGAAAGCUAUAUGCGCUGUGAGAGAGCUUUGCGUCCCAUUAGCUAGUUGGAGAGGUAACGGCUCACCAAGGCGAUGAUGGGUAGCCGGCCUGAGAGGGUGAACGGCCACAAGGGGACUGAGACACGGCCCUUACUCCUACGGGAGGCAGCAGUGGGGAAUAUUGGACAAUGGACCAAGAGUCUGAUCCAGCAGUUCUGUGUGCACGAUGAAGUUUUUCGGAAUGUAAAGUGCUUUCAGUUGGGAAGAAAAAAAUGACGGUACCAACAGAAGAAGUGACGGCUAAAUACGUG